Long non-coding RNA from Strongylocentrotus purpuratus (purple sea urchin), 839 nucleotides. RefSeq lists it as uncharacterized. NCBI's taxonomy places the organism in Eukaryota, Metazoa, Echinodermata, Echinoidea, Camarodonta, Strongylocentrotidae. The transcript is spliced from 5 exons. The record is from RefSeq and is a predicted model, not a curated record.
AUGCCAACAAGAUCCGGUUCAGAUAUUAAGUCAAAGCUGGCUUGUUUCUAUCAGAUUUGUCAGUUAAAACUUGGCAGUGGGCACCAGGCCUCUAAUAUAGAUUUUGUGGGAACAAUCGAGAAAUAUUAUUUAUCUAGUUUAUAAUACCUUGUGUUAUUCUUGCAGAUAUAAACGAGUGUUUACGGACCGAUGCUGACUACCCUUGUGAUGCAGACAAUGGCGAUUGUACAAACACGCUUGGAAGCUACAUGUGCACCUGCAAUCCUGGAUUCGAGACUGAUUCAUCAGACCCCUCAGCUUGUUCUAAUAUCAAUGAUUGCUCGAGCGACACCUGUCAGAAUGGAGGGUCCUGCAUGGACUUGGUCAAUGGAUACACAUGUUCAUGUCUGGAUGGAUUCAACGGAACUCACUGUGAAUUUGACAUUGAUGCAUGUGUCCCUAACCCAUGUGUCAAUGAAGUGAACUGCACAAACCACUAAAUGAAUCCCGGUGAUGCUACUUACACAUGUUUCUGCAUGCCUGGAUGGACAGGGGAAACUUGCUCAGAUGAUUUUCGUGAAUGUGAUUCGAUGCCCUGCGAGAACAACGGAACCUGCGUGGAUGGCCCAAAUUAUUACAACUGCGCUUGUCCUCCGGGCUUCAAUGGAUCAUAUUGUGAACAUAUCUGUCCUGCUGGUACUUUUGGAGAUUACUGUACGGAGAGCUGUACUUGUGUGGAUGGGGCUAACUGCAGUACUGUCGAUGGGGGCUGCACUUGUGAGCCAGCAUUUGAGGAAGCAGUUUGUGACAAAAGUAAGUGAACUUGUUGGUAUUGUGAUGGCUGAAAUUAUAGAGAAUUU